GGAGGGAUGCUCAGCGGCAGAGCAGGUGCUUGGCAUGCACAAGGUCCUGGGUUCAAUCCCCAGUGCCUCUG
RNAcentral lists this transfer RNA (71 nucleotides) under Camelus bactrianus (Bactrian camel). It matches the Rfam family "tRNA". From Rfam's summary of the family: Transfer RNA (tRNA) molecules are approximately 80 nucleotides in length. Their secondary structure includes four short double-helical elements and three loops (D, anti-codon, and T loops). Further hydrogen bonds mediate the characteristic L-shaped molecular structure. tRNAs have two regions of fundamental functional importance: the anti-codon, which is responsible for specific mRNA codon recognition, and the 3' end, to which the tRNAs corresponding amino acid is attached (by aminoacyl-tRNA synthetases). tRNAs cope with the degeneracy of the genetic code in two manners: having more than one tRNA (with a specific anti-codon) for a particular amino acid; and 'wobble' base-pairing, i.e. permitting non-standard base-pairing at the 3rd anti-codon position. The record is from Rfam by way of RNAcentral. RNAcentral also lists the same sequence under 2 other names. Lineage: Eukaryota; Metazoa; Chordata; Mammalia; Artiodactyla; Camelidae.